GAUGAACGCUGGCGGCGUGCCUAAUACAUGCAAGUCGAGCGAACGGACGAGAAGCUUGCUUCUCUGAUGUUAGCGGCGGACGGGUGAGUAACACGUGGAUAACCUACCUAUAAGACUGGGAUAACUUCGGGAAACCGGAGCUAAUACCGGAUAAUAUUUUGAACCGCAUGGUUCAAAAGUGAAAGACGGUCUUGCUGUCACUUAUAGAUGGAUCCGCGCUGCAUUAGAUAGUUGGUAAGGUAACGGCUUACCAAGGCAACGAUGCAUAGCCGACCUGAGAGGGUGAGCGGCCACACUGGAACUGAGACACGGUCCAGACUCCUACGGGACGCAGCAGUAGGGAAUCUUCCGCAAUGGGCGAAAGCCUGACGGAGCACCGCCGCGUGAGGGAUGAAGGUCUUCGGAUCGUAAAACUCUGUUAUUAGGGAAGAACAUAUGUGUAAGAAACUGUGAACAGCUUGACGGUACCGAAUCAAAAAGCAACGGCUAACUACGUG
Molecule: ribosomal RNA, 497 nt
Filed under: uncultured bacterium
Lineage: Bacteria
Description: partial 16S ribosomal RNA
Rfam family: Bacterial small subunit ribosomal RNA
Source: RNAcentral